UUCCUACGGGCGGCAGCAGUGAGGAAUAUUGGUCAAUGGGCGCAAGCCUGAACCAGCCAUCCCGCGUGAAGGAUGAAGGUCCUAUGGAUUGUAAACUUCUUUUAUACAGGAAGAAAAAUCUCUACGUGUAGAGACUUGCCGGUACUGUAUGAAUAAGCAUCGGCUAACUCCGUGCCAGCAGCCGCGGUAAUACGGAGGAUGCAAGCGUUAUCCGGAUUCAUUGGGUUUAAAGGGUGCGUAGGCGGCUUUUUAAGUAAGUGGUGAAAUCCUGCCGCUUAACGGUAGAAUUGCCAUUGAUACUGAAGAGCUUGAGUACAAUUGAGGUAAGCGGAAUGUGUAGUGUAGCGGUGAAAUGCUUAGAUAUUACACAGAACACCAAUUGCGAAGGCAGCUUACUAAACUGUCACUGACGCUGAUGCACGAAAGCGUGGGGAGCGAACAGGAUUAGAUACCCCUGUAGUCAU
This 464-nucleotide ribosomal RNA is filed under the name uncultured Bacteroidales bacterium. RNAcentral's name for it is "bacterial SSU rRNA". It matches the Rfam family "Bacterial small subunit ribosomal RNA", at positions 336 to 797 of the family's 1533-position model. Lineage: Bacteria; Pseudomonadati; Bacteroidota; Bacteroidia; Bacteroidales. The record is from RNAcentral.